GACGAACGCUGGCGGCGUGCUUAACACAUGCAAGUCGAGCGGUAAGGCCUUCGGGUACACGAGCGGCGAACGGGUGAGUAACACGUGGGUGAUCUGCCUCGCACUUCGGGAUAAGCCUGGGAAACUGGGUCUAAUACCGGAUAUGACCUUCCAGUGCAUGCUGGUGGGUGGAAAGAUUUAUCGGUGCGAGAUGGGCCCGCGGCCUAUCAGCUUGUUGGUGGGGUGAUGGCCUACCAAGGCGACGACGGGUAGCCGGCCUGAGAGGGCGACCGGCCAC
RNAcentral lists this ribosomal RNA (277 nucleotides) under uncultured bacterium. Its description in RNAcentral is "partial 16S ribosomal RNA". It matches the Rfam family "Bacterial small subunit ribosomal RNA", at positions 28 to 311 of the family's 1533-position model. The record is from RNAcentral.